AACCAACAGGGAUUGCCCUAGUAACGGCGAGUGAAGCGGCAACAGCUCAAAUUUGAAAUCUGGCCUCGGCCCGAGUUGUAAUUUGCAGAGGAUGCUUUUGGCGCGGUGCCUUCCGAGUUCCCUGGAACGGGACGCCACAGAGGGUGAGAGCCCCGUAUGGUUGGACACCAAGCCUGUGUAAAGCUCCUUCGACGAGUCGAGUAGUUUGGGAAUGCUGCUCAAAAUGGGAGGUAAAUCUCUUCUAAAGCUAAAUACCGGCCAGAGACCGAUAGCGCACAAGUAGAGUGAUCGAAAGAUGAAAAGCACCUUGAAAAGGGGGUUAAACAGUACGUGAAAUUGUUGAAAGGGAAGCGCUUGUGACCAGACUUGCGCCUGGCGGCUCAUCCGGGGUUCUCUCCGGUGCACUCCGCCAGGCUCAGGCCAGCAUCGGUUCUGGCGGGGGGAUAAGAUCGGCGGGAACGUAGCACCCUCCGGGGUGUGUUAUAGCCCGCCGAACGAUACCCUCGCGGGGACCGAGGUUCGCGCUCCGCAAGGAUGCUGGCGUAAUGGUCAUCAGCGACCCGUCUUGAAACACGGACCAAGGAGUCGUCCAUUAUAGCGAGCGUUUGGGUGUAAAACCCGCACGCGUAAUGAAAGUGAAAUUAGGUGAGAGCUUCGGCGCAUCAUCGACCGAUCCUGAUGUUCUCGGAAGGAUUUGAGUAAGAGUUAUAACGGACGGACCCGAAAGACAGUGAACUAUGCUUGUAUAGGGUGAAGCCAGAGGAAACUCUGGUGGAGGCUCGCAGCGGUUCUGACGUGCAAAUCGAUCGUCAAAUAUGAGCAUGGGGGCGAAAGACUAAUCGAACUGUCUAGUAGCUGGU
This 860-nucleotide ribosomal RNA is filed under the name Stegonsporium opalus. RNAcentral's name for it is "LSU rRNA". It matches the Rfam family "Eukaryotic large subunit ribosomal RNA", at positions 63 to 955 of the family's 3401-position model. Lineage: Eukaryota; Fungi; Ascomycota; Sordariomycetes; Diaporthales; Stilbosporaceae. The record is from RNAcentral.